CCUACGGGAGGCACCAGUGGGGAAUAUUGCACAAUGGGCGCAAGCCUGAUGCAGCCAUGCCGCGUGUAUGAAGAAGGCCUUCGGGUUGUAAAGUACUUUCAGCGAGGAGGAAGGCAUUAAGGUUAAUAACCUUGGUGAUUGACGUUACUCGCAGAAGAAGCACCGGCUAACUCCGUGCCAGCAGCCGCGGUAAUACGGAGGGUGCAAGCGUUAAUCGGAAUUACUGGGCGUAAAGCGCACGCAGGCGGUCUGUCAAGUCGGAUGUGAGAUCCCCGGGCUCAACCUGGGAACUGCAUCCGAAAUUGGCAGGCUAGAGUCCUGUAGAGGGGGGUAGAAUUCCAGGUGUAGCGGUGAAGUGCGUAGAGAUCUGGAGGAAUACCGGUGGCGAAGGCGGCCCCCUGGACAAAGACUGACGCUCAGGUGCGAAAGCGUGGGGAGCAAACAGGAUUAGAUACCCCGGUAGUC
RNAcentral lists this ribosomal RNA (465 nucleotides) under uncultured bacterium. RNAcentral's name for it is "bacterial SSU rRNA". It matches the Rfam family "Bacterial small subunit ribosomal RNA", at positions 338 to 795 of the family's 1533-position model. The record is from RNAcentral.